Molecule: ribosomal RNA, 481 nt
Filed under: uncultured bacterium
Lineage: Bacteria
Description: bacterial SSU rRNA
Rfam family: Bacterial small subunit ribosomal RNA
Source: RNAcentral
AGAGUUUGAUCCUGGCUCAGAUUGAACGCUGGCGGCAUACCUUACACAUGCAAGUCGAACGGCAGCGGACCUUCGGGUGCCGGCGAGUGGCGAACGGGUGAGUAAUGUAUCGGAACGUACCUUUCAGUGGGGGAUAACGUAGCGAAAGUUACGCUAAUACCGCAUAUUCUGUGCGCAGGAAAGCAGGGGAUCGCAAGACCUUGCGCUGAUUGAGCGGCCGAUAUCAGAUUAGCUAGUUGGUGAGGUAAAGGCUCACCAAGGCGACGAUCCGUAGCGGGUCUGAGAGGAUGAUCCGCCACACUGGAACUGAGACACGGUCCAGACUCCUACGGGAGGCAGCAGUGGGGAAUUUUGGACAAUGGGGGCAACCCUGAUCCAGCCAUGCCGCGUGAGUGAAGAAGGCCUUCGGGUUGUAAAGCUCUUUCGGCCGGGAAGAAAUCGCAUGGGUUAAUACCCUGUGCGGAUGACGGUACCGGCAUAA